This 3656-nucleotide long non-coding RNA is filed under the name Lactuca sativa (garden lettuce). RNAcentral describes it as "long non-coding RNA (LSAT_LNC005793)". The record is from RNAcentral. Lineage: Eukaryota; Viridiplantae; Streptophyta; Magnoliopsida; Asterales; Asteraceae.
AUGACAUUCCAACAUUUUUAAUAUAAUUAAAAUACAUUUUGUAACAACGCAAAUUUUCAAACAAUUUUUUUCAUUUUAAAAAUAAAGUAUUUCCAUUCAAAACAAGGCAUAAAUAAUUUAAGUUUCAUGUCAAAUACAAAUUGUCUAAAUCCCAAGAUCAUAAAAACAUUCUUCAGUGUGUAUCGAUCACGCCGGCGCCUUCCCACGGUCCUCGCUAGUACCUGAAACACAUACAUAACAACUGUAAGCAUAAAUGCUUAGUGAGUUCCCCAAUAUACUACUUACGCACAUACGCCUUUCCAGGCCCUGACCUUCCGGUCCAUGUGUCUCAGGGGACUUCCGUCCCUGCUGGGUAAACCUUCCGGUCCUACCCACGCCGACCUUCCGGUCCAUCACACAACAUAUCGCCUUCCGGCCCAUAACAUAUUGCCUUCCGGCCCAUAAUAUAAUCGCCUUCCGGCCCAUAACAUACAUAGCACAUAUAACAAAUAACUUACCACAUAUAGCAUACAUAUCACAUAUCAUAUCUGACCUUCCGGUCACACAGUCAACCCCUUCCGGGUACAGUAUAGUGAGAAGACUCACCUCGUGAAUACUGGAAGCUAGCAAAUCCUGAAAUCACUCGUGCUCGAUCCGCUGAGCUACAACCUCCCUAUAACAUCAUAUAUCUCUUAUUAACACUUUUAUCUUCUAAGUUUAACUGCCCCUAAGAAGUCACACAUAGGUCAACUCUGGUCAACGGUCAACGGUCAACGGUCAACUUGACCGGACUCGGCGAGUGCCAUGGCGACUCGGCGAGUCUAGACGUCCUCCAACUCUCUGAGAUUCCCUAUCUACUCGUCGAGUAUCCUCCUUGACCCGACGAGUUACUCCUGGAAGAAUCGCGGGGCCACCCCGACUCAACUCGCCGAGUCUGAAGAACAACUCGACGAGUCCCAGUUAAUCUUCAAGCUACUCGCCGAGUCUGUUCAUCGAACUCGGCGAGUCCAUGCCAUGCAACCGCUCAAACUGCAUCCUAAGGUCAGAACUGCUUCGACCAUUCCUAGGUCUGGCCUUCCUAGGCUGAUCCAUCACGUAAAGUCCUCAUUUCAGUGCUCAUGAUACACCAUAUGAUUCAUAAUUUACAUUUUGACCUAAGGCAUAAGGAUUCCAAUCCAAAACCUUCAUCAAUUCCCGAAAUGCACAGACAUGGGACAUUCUGGACCUCCAAAGGUCCCAAUACAGGGUUACAAUCGAUUAGGGGACUAGGGUAACAUUCAAUCUAUUCACAAAAGGGUUCCAUAAACCCUAAUUCCAUAAUCACAUCAACAUAGCAGAGUAUACUCGAAUUCUUACCUGGAUGAUGUAUUCUCUGUGUCCCCAAUCCUCAGAAUGUGACUCCCUUGCUGCUCCUUUAGCCAAUCCCUUCUCUUCCUUGCACAACCACUCUUCUAUAAUCAACAAUGGCCUAUAAUCCUUGCUCCAGAUGCACACAAUCGAUUUAGGGUUCUUCUCAGAAGGCUAAAAUGAACAAUGACGGCCAAUGAGUCCUUUUUAUACGUCCCAAACCUGAACGGUUAGGGUUUUCGCUAAACAGCGUAGACUCGCCGAGUCCAUAUCUGGACUCGUCGAGUCCAGUCGCGAACCCGCGACCAAGUCUGCGAUCCUACUCGGCGAGUCUAGGCUCCAACUCGCCGAGUCCCCUCUUAAAUCACCCCAAAAACAUAAUUUAACAAUACCUGAGAUUCCGGGCUGUUACAACUCUCCCCCACUAGGAUUAGACUUCGCCCUCGAAGUCUCACUCUGAAAAUAGUUCCGGAUGCUGCUCCCGCAUCUCACGUUCCGGCUCCCAAGUCAUUUCCGAUCCCUUCCGGUGUUGCCACUGAACCAACACCAGAGGUACCUCCUUGUUCCUCAGAACCUUGAUCUUCCGAUCCCUGAUGGCCACUGGUCUCUCGGCAUAAUUCAGGCUCGCAUCCACCUGAAUAUCCUCCAAUGGAACCACUGCCGACUCAUCGGCUAUGCACUUCCUCAAUUGCGACACAUGAAAAGUGUCGUGGAUCUGUCCCAACUCCGCUGGCAACUCCAACCGAUAGGCUACCCGGCCUAUCCUUGCAAUCACACGAAAUGGCCCAAUAUACCGGGGCCCCAACUUGCCCCUCUUCCUGAAUCGAAUCACUCCUUUCCAAGGAGAGACCUUCAGGAGAACGAAGUCGCCGACUUGAAACUCAAGCUCGGAUCGGCGCCUGUCUGCAUAACUCUUCUGUCGGCUCUGGGCGGUCAAUAACCUCUGUCUAACUUGCUGAAUCUGCUCUGUCGUCUGGAGCACGAUCUCCGUGCUGCCCAUCACUCUCUGUCCCACCUCUCCCCAGCAAAUGGGGGUCCGACACCUCCUACCAUACAACAGCUCAAAAGGUGGCAUACCAAUGCUCGAAUGAUGGCUGUUGUUGUAGGAAAACUCUGCCAAGGGUAAAUACGCAUCCCAGCUACCCCCGAAGUCUAACACACACGCUCGAAGCAUGUCCUCCAGCGUCUGAAUCGUCCGCUCGCUCUGACCGUCUGUCUGGGGAUGGUAUGCGGUACUAAAAUGCAAUUUAGUACCCAGCUCCUCAUGGAAUUUCUUCCAGAACCUGGAAGUGAAGCGCACAUCACGGUCUGAAACAAUCGAGAUCGGCACUCCAUGCCGAGAUACCACUUCUCUCACAUAUAUCUCCGCCAACUUCUCCGCUGAAGAACUCUCGCUGAUGGCAAGGAAGUGUGCACUCUUCGUCAACCUAUCCACAAUCACCCAAAUUGCAUCAACUCCCCUGGCAGUCCUCGGCAAUUUGGUGAUGAAAUCCAUAGUGAUUUGUUCCCACUUCCACUCGGGAAUCUCCAAUGGCUGUAACUUGCCAUGCGGUCUCUGGUGCUCGGCCUUAACCCUACGACAGGUCAAGCACCUCUCAACGAACCAUGCGACGUCCCUCUUCAUACAGGGCCACCAAUACUCUUUCCUCAAAUCCAAAUACAUCUUCGUAGCACCGGGAUGGAUCGAGAAUUUCGAUCUAUGAGCCUCUUCCAUCAAAGUAAUACGCGUACCGCCCACGAACGGUACCCAGAUCCGACCCUGAAACGUCAGAAGCCCUCGUCCGUCCUUAAGGAACUCUGAAAUUAACCCAACGACCCGCUCUUUCUUCUGCAUCUCUGGUCGCACCGCCUCGGCCUGUGCCCCACGAAUCGCAUCCAAUACUGGAUUCAUCACAGUCAGUCUCAAACAUACAUCUCNNNNNNNNNNNNNNNNNNNNNNNNNNNNNNNNNNNNNNNNNNNNNNNNNNNNNNNNNNNNNNNNNNNNNNNNNNNNNNNNNNNNNNNNNNNNNNNNNNNNUGUAAAAUACAAAUUGUCUAAAUCCCAAGAUCAUAAAAACAUUCUUCACUGUGUAUCGAUCACGCCGGCGCCUUCCCAAGGUCCUCGCUAGUACCUGAAACACAUGCAUAACAACUGUAAGCAUAAAUGCUUAGUGAGUUCCCCAAUAUACUACUUACGCACAUACGCCUUUCCAGGCCCUGACCUUCCGGUCCAUGUGUCUCAGGGGACUUCCGUCCCUGCUGGGUAAACCUUCCGGUCCUACCCACGCCGACCUUCCGGUCCAUAACACAACAUAUUGCCUUCCGGCCCAUAACAUAUUGCCUUCCGGCCC